AUGACAGCUGGACCAGAACUCAACCACAGCUCACCUCACACAACACUGGUCCAAAGUCAGUGGAGAACACUGACAGAGGACAUGACCGCAUCUGGACCAGAACUCAACCACAGCUCACCUCACACAACACUGGUCCAAAGUCAGUGGAGAACACUGACAGAGGACAUGACCGCAUCUGGACCAGAACUCAACCACAGCUCACCUCACACAACACUGGUCCAAAGUCAGUGGAGAACACUGACAGAGGACAUGACCGCAUCUGGACCAGAACUCAACCACAGCUCACCUCACACAACACUGGUCCAAAGUCAGUGGAGAACACUGACAGAGGACAUGACCGCAUCUGGACCAGAACUCAACCACAGCUCACCUCACACAACACUGGUCCAAAGUCAGUGGAGAACACUGACAGAGGACAUGACCGCAUCUGGACCAGAACUCAACCACAGCUCACCUCACACAACACUGGUCCAAAGUCAGUGGAGAACACUGACAGAGGACAUGACCGCAUCUGGACCAGAACUCAACCACAGCUCACCUCACACAACACUGGUCCAAAGUCAGUGGAGAACACUGACAGAGGACAUGACCGCAUCUGGACCAGAACUCAACCACAGCUCACCUCACACACCACUGGUCCAAAGUCAGUGGAGAACACUGACAGAGGACAUGACCGCAUCUGGACCAGAACUCAACCACAGCUCACCUCACACAACACUGGUCCAAAGUCAGUGGAGAACACUGACAGAGGACAUGACCGCAUCUGGACCAGAACUCAACCACAGCUCACCUCACACAACACUGGUCCAAAGUCAGUGGAGAACACUGACAGAGGACAUGACCGCAUCUGGACCAGAACUCAACCACAGCUCACCUCACACACCACUGGUCCAAAGUCAGUGGAGAACACUGACAGAGGACAUGACCGCAUCUGGACCAGAACUCAACCACAGCUCACCUCACACAACACUGGUCCAAAGUCAGUGGAGAACACUGACAGAGGACAUGACCGCAUCUGGACCAGAACUCAACCACAGCUCACCUCACACAACACUGGUCCAAAGUCAGUGGAGAACACUGACAGAGGACAUGACCGCAUCUGGACCAGAACUCAACCACAGCUCACCUCACACAACACUGGUCCAAAGUCAGUGGAGAACACUGACAGAGGACAUGACCGCAUCUGGACCAGAACUCAACCACAGCUCACCUCACACAACACUGGUCCAAAGUCAGUGGAGAACACUGACAGAGGACAUGACCGCAUCUGGACCAGAACUCAACCACAGCUCACCUCACACAACACUGGUCCAAAGUCAGUGGAGAACACUGACAGAGGACAUGACCGCAUCUGGACCAGAACUCAACCACAGCUCACCUCACACACCACUGGUCCAAAGUCAGUGGAGAACACUGACAGAGGACAUGACCGCAUCUGGACCAGAACUCAACCACAGCUCACCUCACACAACACUGGUCCAAAGUCAGUGGAGAACACUGACAGAGGACAUGACCGCAUCUGGACCAGAACUCAACCACAGCUCACCUCACACACCACUGGUCCAAAGUCAGUGGAGAACACUGACAGAGGACAUGACCGCAUCUGGACCAGAACUCAACCACAGCUCACCUCACACAACACUGGUCCAAAGUCAGUGGAGAACAGACAGAGGACAUGACCGCAUCUGGACCAGAACUCAACCACAGCUCACACACAGCUGGUCCCAUGUCACUUGA
This 1737-nucleotide long non-coding RNA is filed under the name Oncorhynchus mykiss (rainbow trout). RNAcentral describes it as "lncRNA (ENSOMYG00000067572.1)". Lineage: Eukaryota; Metazoa; Chordata; Actinopteri; Salmoniformes; Salmonidae. The record is from RNAcentral.